This 4146-nucleotide long non-coding RNA is filed under the name Podarcis lilfordi (Lilford's wall lizard). Lineage: Eukaryota; Metazoa; Chordata; Lepidosauria; Squamata; Lacertidae. The record is from RNAcentral.
GUUGGCCAUUAAAAGCCCUCAAAAUACUCACAGCCACUGGCUUGUAACCGAUAUCCAAAGAAGAUCUGAUGGCAAGUGUGUGGUUUUUUCCCUCCUGGAGAACCAGUCGAGGGAAGGGAGUCAAGUGACAAGCAGGUUUGGUCGCUGAAAACAUCCCUCCUGCUCCAACUUUUCCAAACACGCAUGCCGGCACUGUAAUUAAUCUCAGUGAAAUGGAAUGUAUCGUCCUGACCAGUUCAGCUGGUGUGGGCCAAAGUGCAAAGGAACAAGCAAAAAGAAAAAGGAGUUCAGUCUCUCGCUUCGGAGGGCGCAGUUCGGUUUCCCUAACAAGAAAAUCUGACACAACUCCUCUUCGUGAAAGGAACGGGACCGUGGCAAGAGGCAAUGAUAGAUUCCACAAGGCUGUAGAGAGUUCAAAGAAGAGACAGGUUGCUGUUUUUCAAAACGCUAUUCUGCUCGGCAGGAUCUGCAAUGUUUAGAAUGUGUGGUGAGAUUUGGGAACAGGCGCAAAUCAAACUUUUAAAUGCACACACACACACACACACACACACACACACACACAGUGCAGUUACUCACAAAGUGUGCAGAAUAAUUAAGUUGGUAUGUGUGGGGCAGCCAACCCCCAAACCUAGAGACCCCAUGCAGCACUGGUUCUGCGCCCCCUAACCAAUAUGUCGCAAGGGAAGGAAGGAAGGCAUUAUAAGAGAACAAGGAAGCGUUCGUGGUGAGUUCUAGCACGUCUUUUUCUAGAAAAACAGCACCACAUGUGAUUCCCAAGUAGUCUCUCAUUCAGAAACUGAUGAGUGUCUGAGGUGUUUAGCUUCAGCAAGGCCUCAGUGCCUCAGGAGUCCUCAAGCCAGUCAGGAGAGGUGCUGGAACUGAGUUCAAGUGAGUUCCAGCUGAAGAAAAGCGCUGAUCGCAUAUAUGCUGCCUUGAGUUCCACAGCUGAAAGAAGGUAGUGUAUACUUUUCAAUGUUUUUUUUUUAAAAAAAAUCUGUUUUUUCUGUUUCUAGUUGUUUUAUUAGACAUCGUUUUAAGUUGGUUGGCUAAAAUGUGAUUAAUAAAUCAGUGGUGGGAAUGUUCUUAAUAAUAAAUUUACUAAAUAAAUAGCCCAUUCACUUGUUUUUUCUCAUAGCCUUUAGUAUCUAGCUUCCCUUGCCUCUAUGACUGCCACACAGCUGUUUUCCUUGACAUUGACCUUUGCUUGUGUCUUUUGACCAUGGGAUGUCUCUCUGACUCCCAUCAACCAAUCCAGCUGCUGGCUCCUGCAUCACAGCCAGCUGGGUUCUGCCUGUCAUUCUGACCAUUAGUCUUCUCUUAGACAGCUCUUUGCGCUGUCUGUUUCAAGGAUCUAUGUAAAAGCCCUUAAUAUGAAAGCUGAGUAUCCAGUUUUCGAGUGUCGGUGCUUGCUUGAUGCGAAACUGACAGCAGCAGCAUGUUUUUGACCCAUAAAUAUAUUAACGGAAGACUUUGUAGCACGUCUUGGUAGGUUUCCACAAGCCGCAUGAAUAUUCAGCAUCAACGGGAGAGUAUUCAUCCAUUGUAGAGAAUGAAUAUAUAUUUCCAAACUCCUCACUUGAGAAUCAAGAAAUUCCCAUCUCAAGGUCUUCCAGAUCAGCCAAAGUUCAAGUUCUUACUUCUUCACCUUGACAAAUAUACGAGGCAGACGAGUGUGAUACACAGUUCAGAGCAUCGCUGGGUGAUUCAGUAGCAAAGUCAGGAGGAGGCGAAGGAUGAGCAAUAUUAUGUAAAUGCAGCUGUGCUGAUUUACAGGCGCAAAUGGUGUUAGAUUUCAAGGAAUAAAAAUAAAAAACCAAAUUCCUACAAUUGGAUUUUAGGACGGUUAGUCAUCCACAUAAAUAGAAUAAUGACGUGCCUGUCAUUGAAAGGACCUUUUUAUGAGAAGAGUAACUUUGAACUCCUGUUGAAUGCUGAUUUCCUCGUUGAAACUCACCAACAGGAUGGAAUAAGAGGGCAGAUGAAACAGCAGUCACCUGUGGAAUGAGCAGCCCACCAGUUCACUGGCUUACAUUAAGGUUCAGACAUCUACAGUGGUGCCUCGCAAGACGAAAUUAAUUCGUUCCGCGAGUUUUUUCGUCUAGCGAAUUUUUCGUCUUGCGAAGCACGGUUUCCCAUAGGAAUGCAUUGAAAUUCAAUUAAUGCGUUCCUAUGGUCAAAAAAAGUCCAAUCAAAGCCAAAUUUGGUACAACAAUAGUUUAUUAACUGCUCUUUAAAGUCACACAUACUUUAAAGAGCAUAUCAAAAAUUGAAGGAACAAUAAAUUAAGUUUCUAAACAUGACAGAAAAACAUUUAAAAAUCAACAAAGUGUACUGUACAUACAUUUUCUAAGACUCUGGGGAACCACUCGAAGAAGGUUCCUCUUCCACUCUUUGCUUCUUGCUGAGGAACCUGUCCAUGGUCUGCUGCUUCAUCCGCCUUUUCAGCAGCUCCCUGAGAGGCAACAUGACCGUCGUAUCAAAAGUGUUCGCUUGGUCAUGUGCCACGUGCUUGUUAGGGUGGUGCCGCUCUGCAAAAGCCUGCACCUCCUUCCACUUCUGGCAAAUGUCCCUCAGUUCUUUGGAGGACGGCCGUUCCUCAGUUGCUUCCUCCUCUUCCAGCGAGGCCUGCUCCUGCGCAACCUCUGCCUGCAGUUCAACCAGCUCCUGGGUGGUCAGCUCGUGGUCGUGCUCCUCCACCAGCUCGCUGACGUCCUCCUCUGUGACCUCCAGGCCCAUGGUCCUCCCCAAGGCAACAAUGUCCUGCACCACUGUUGACUCUGGUGCAUCAGAGUCACUUGGUGCCACACAGUCCGGCCACAGGCUGCGCCAAGCGCAAUUCAAAUUUCUCUGGCUGAUCCCGUUCCAGGCCGUGGUGAUCAUCUUCAAGCAGGUGACGAUGUCGAAGUGGUCCUUCCAGAAUUCCCGCAGGGUGAUGGUGGUGCAAUCAGUCACCUCGAAGCAUCGCCUGAAAAGCUCCUUGGUGUAGAGUUUUUGAAAUUGGCGAUGACCUGCUGAUCCAUCGGCUGGAGCAGUGGCGUGGUGUUAGGCGGCAGGAACAUGAUGUUGAUGAAGCUGAACUCCUCCAACAAGUCCACCUCAAGGCCUUUAGGAUGAGCAGGAGCAUUGUCCAUCAGAAGCAAAGCCUUCAGCGGCAGGUCGUUGUCCAGCAGGUACUGUUUGACAGCAGGGCCAAAAGCAAGAUUGACCCAGUCCACAAACAGCACACGUGUGACCCAAGCCUUGCUGUUGGAUCGCCACAUGACACUCAGCCGCUCCUUGUCGACCUUGUGUUUCUUGAAGGCCCGUGGGUUCUCCGAGUGGUACACCAGCAGGGGCUUGAUCUUCAGGUCGCCGCUUGCGUUGGCACAGAAGAGCAGGGUCAGGCGGUCCUUCAUGGGCUUGUGGCCAGGCAACUUGGCCUCCUCCUGUGUGAUGAAAGUCCUUUUGGGCAUCCUCUUCCAAAACAGCCCAGUCUCGUCGCAGUUGAAGACCUGCUGUGGAACGUAGCCCUCCGUCUUCACAACCUCCAGGAACUCCAAGGCAAAGUCUUCAGCCGCAGGAACAUCAGAACUGGCAGCCUCUCCAUGCCUGACCACGCUGUGGAUUCCAGAUCUUGCCUUGAACCGGUCAAACCAGCCUCUGCUUGCCUUGAAGACUUCUGGCUCGCCUGAGGUUCCUGGCUGUUCCCGGAUGAGGUCUGCGUGCAAGGCCUUGGCCUUCUCACAAAUGACGGCCUCAGUCACUGUGUCCCCUGCACGCUGCUUCUCUUCUAACCAGAUGAGCAGCAACUUCUCGACCUCCUCCAGAACAGCUGGGCGGUUCUUCACGAUCCUGGUGACUCCCUUGGCUGCAUCAGUCGCAAGGAUCUUCUCCCUCAUCUUCAGGAUGGUCCCGAUGGUCGAUGGGUUCCUGCCGUACUCCCUGGCGAGGUCCGUCACACGCAUUCCACCGUCGUGCUUCCAGAUGAUCUCCUUCUUCAUUUCCAGCGUCACCUUCUCCUUCUUCCUCUCGCCGGCCUCCGCAGCAGCAGCAGUCUUCUUGGGUCCCAUGGCAGCACAGCUCUUACCUUCGUAAACUCAGAAAAAGAAAAAGAAAAUCAGCAAUUCAAACCCAGAACCAAGUCCUUGAAUUCCAAACACCCAACCC